UCAAUGUUGUGUAACACCUUGGACGUAUAACACACUACACACAACAUUGAACGGGGGAAGGGGGUUUGCUAUGCUUGUUAUUGAUGUGGGAGUCAAAUUUCGCACAGUCAGUUUCAAGUGCGCCAAUGUUUUUGACCAGGAUUGAGCAAAUUUAUAUAUAACAAUAUAUAAAUUCAAGUUAAUGAGACAACACGUUUGUCACCUUCAAACCUGGUUAUAAUCGCAUAGUAACAGGAUAAGCUUGUCAACAGCCACAAAAAGGCGAUAUCCAAUAGUCCAAAGUUCAAAUGUUUCUCUGGGCAUGUGUAAAACCGAAUGAAAGAUCAACUGACCAAUCAUAUGUCAACAACGAACACGCAGAACAAAGGUCAGUGUGAUAAGGGAGUUCACUUUGACAAAUAUCCCAACAAAGAGCAAUGUCUUGUUACCGAGAAAGAAAAUUUGAAAAUUUGACUUGGUGCGGAGCUGUAAAGAAUUACGGACAUCGAAUGAACUGAGACAAUGUGACAGAAAAGAGUUUAUGAACGCUGGAAUUGACAUAUCAUGGUUAUAUUAAAGAAAAUUUGGUCAGUAACUCAGUAUGAUAAUUCAGUGAGACGCAGUUUAUUCAAAUAGAACUCUACCGGACAAGCGCUUUUACUCUUCUGGUGGACAAAGGAAUACGUUUGCUCAAGUCAAGUUAUUACCAUUAAAUGAAACCGCCGCUGGGGAAAUAUCAUUCCGUGUCUCAUACACAUGCUUCCUAAAGUGAAGCGGUAUUCGGCGCUAAGUAUGCGGUGCCUUGACACGUUGUUUCGUAUUCCACUUCUCAAAUCAACCAAAAUGUAUUAAAUUCGUCUAUUUUAUAACAACAUUCCGGUGUAUUAUUUGUUGAUGAAAAAAUUCCAAUGACAAUUUUAUUACCACCUUGAGGUUAGCCGCAGAUUAGGCUUCAGAUUACGCCUCAGAUUUGGCGUUGGAUUGGGUUUCAAUCAGGCCUUACAUUAAACUGUAUUCAAUCGCUCAAAAGUAGAGUUAUAAAACUUCUUUUUCAGCUAUUUUACAAAAUUAAUUUGACCUGGAUACAUUGUCAAUACUUUACUGUUCAAAACUUAAGAAAGCAAGCUCAUUUGUGAACGAAAUUUAAGACUUUAAACUCUGCGCAUAUGUGUUUAUGUAUAUUUGCGAUAAAUCGACAAGAUGGAUAUCAUGAAAGAUUGGUACGAUAACAUGUAUGCCUACGCUUAUGAAAAUUGUAUUUUGUCUACCAAAUACAUAUUAUUUUACAAUUUCUGCUAAUAUCAUGAAUGCAUGAUUGCAUGGAUGUUAGAUCGCAACGCUGUGGUUAUAAGCACCUGAAUUGCAUUUUCGUCCUGCUAUUUUGAAUUAAAGUAAUGAAUAAGCUAUUUUUCUGAGAGUAAUGUCAUAUAAUUCGAAAAAGUUCCACCAAUCAUAGAUGGAUAUCAUGAAAGAUUGGUAUGAUACCAUGUAUGCCUACGCUCAUGAAAAUUGAAAAUCCUUCAUGUACUAUUAUUUAACUGCAUAAUCUAUUUUGUCUACCAAAUACAUAUCCUUACAAUUUCUGCUAAUAUCAUGAAUGCAUGAUUGGAUAUUCGAUCGCAACACUGUGUUUAUAAGCACCUGAAUGGCAUUUUGGUCCUGCUAUUUUGAAUUAAAGUAAUGAAUAAGCUAUUUUUCUGAGAGUAGUCACAUAAUUCGAGAACGUUCCACCAAUCAUAAUAGAAAUAAAAUAAGUGUAGUUAAAUAAAUGUUGUGCAAAACGUAUUCAUGAAUACAUUAACUUUUAAAAAAAAAAAAUAAAAAUAAACAAAAUGUGCCUUGAUGGUGAGCUUUGUUUGUCGUGUUACCAACCCUCCAAUUAAGAAUUGUAAGAUAGAAGCUUUGUGGGGAAGCUGCUGGUUGUCUUGGCCCCAUCCAGGUUUCCUGUAUAUUCCAGGUUUUUUCUGGCCUCCCUGACUAUCCAGCUAUAGUAUGAGUGAUGGUAACGCCCAAAUAUAUGUCUAACUAUCAUCUGGCAGCAGCUGUCUUGUAUACAAAUACAGCUGUGGUGGGAGUUCGUCUAUGGGGAAUACACAUGCUGUGUAUUUGUGGGGUUGAAGUGUUCCCAAUGGUCAACUUCAGGCCCAUAGACUCAGGUUAUUUAUGUAAAUAUAAUCAGUCGAAUCGUAGGUACUGUCCAAGGGGAUUAUCACCCCUUGGUUCAGGUCUAUGUCAGAGGGGGUCGCUACCCUUCGGGCAGAGCUCCGAGCAUUCAGUCUCUCCUAGCAGGUCUUAUAUAUACGCCUGCGGGAUGAAAACAUAAGGCUUAAUGAGUCUUUGGGUUGACCAGAGUUUGAGAGUAUAAUGUAUAUAAUUGGUUCACUUCACCCUGAACCCAUUCUCCCACAAUGAUUUGGUGUGUGUUUACUUAUUUUCGGGCUGUUUUUUUCACCUAACGUGCUUGAAUUAUUAAAGCAAAUUUAUAUAUAACAAUAUAUAAAUUCAAGUUAAUGAGACAACACGUUUGUCACCUUCAAACCUGGUUAUAAUCUCAUAGUAACAGGAUAAGCUUGUCAACAGCCACAAAAAGGCGAUAUCCAAUAGUCCAAAGUUCAAAUGUUUCCCUGGGCACGUGUAAACCGAAUGAAAGAUCAUCUGACCAAUCAUAUGUCAACAACGAACACGCAGAACAAAGGUCAAUGUGAUAAGGGAGUUCACUUUGACAAAUAUCCCAACAAAGAGCAAUGUCUUGUUACCGAGAAAGAAAAUUUCCACCCACCCACCCGUUCAUGUUCCUGGUAUCUGGUGCAUUGUAUGGGUACUAACUAAUGUUAUGCAAGGACUGUUCAAGAACAAUUUGUCAAGAAAGACUAUCGAACAAUUUUCUCAUGGAAAAUUAUCGCUAUGUAAAUACUUGAAUGUUCAAACAAAUAAAUUUUGGUUCGGGGUUGAAGUGUUCCCAAUGGUCAACUUCAGGCCCAUAGACUCAGGUUAUUUAUGUAAAUAUAAUCAGUCGAAUCGUAGGUACUGUCCAAGGGGAUUAUCACCCCUUGGUUCAGGUCUAUGUCAGAGGGGGUCGCUACCCUUCGG
Non-coding RNA from Paramuricea clavata, 3069 nucleotides. The record is from the annotation of a GenBank genome assembly. Lineage: Eukaryota; Metazoa; Cnidaria; Anthozoa; Malacalcyonacea; Plexauridae.